GAUGAACGCUGGCGGCGUGCCUAAUACAUGCAAGUCGAGCGAACAGACGAGGUGCUUGCUCCUCUUACGUUAGCGGCGGACGGGUGAGUAACACGUGGAUAACCUACCUAUAAGACUGGGAUAACUUCCGGAAACCUGACCUAUUCCCCGUAUUUAUAUUGAACCACAUGGUUCAUUCGUGAUAGGCGGUUUUGCUGUCACUUAUAGAUGGUUCCGCGCUGCAUUCGCUAGUUGGUAAGGUAACGGCUUACCACGGCAACGAUGCGUAGCCGACCUGAGAGGGUGAUUGGCCAGCCGGGAACAGAGGCACGGUCCAGAGUCCGGAGGGAGGACGCAGUAGGGAAUCUUACGCAAUGGGCGAAAGCCUGACGGAGCACAGCCGCGUGAGGGAUGAAGGUCUACGGAUGGGAACACUCUGUUAUUAGGGAAGAACUAAUGUGUAAGUAACUAUGCGCAACUUGACGGUAACUAAUCAGAAAGCCACGGCUAACUACGUG
Molecule: ribosomal RNA, 497 nt
Filed under: uncultured bacterium
Lineage: Bacteria
Description: partial 16S ribosomal RNA
Rfam family: Bacterial small subunit ribosomal RNA
Source: RNAcentral